GAUGAACGCUGGCGGCGUGCUUAACACAUGCAAGUCGAACGGAAAGGCUCCUGCUUGCAGGGGUACUCGAGUGGCGAACGGGUGAGUAACACGUGGGUGAUCUGCCCUGCACUUCGGGAUAAGCCUGGGAAACUGGGUCUAAUACCGGAUAGGACGAUGGUUUGGAUGCCAUUGUGGAAAGUUUUUUCGGUGUGGGAUGAGCUCGCGGCCUAUCAGCUUGUUGGUGGGGUAAUGGCCUACCAAGGCGUCGACGGGUAGCCGGCCUGAGAGGGUGUACGGCCACAUUGGGACUGAGAUACGGCCCAGACUCCUACGGGAGGCAGCAGUGGGGAAUAUUGCACAAUGGGCGCAAGCCUGAUGCAGCGACGCCGCGUGGGGGAUGACGGCCUUCGGGUUGUAAACUCCUUUCGCUAGGGACGAAGCGCAAGUGACGGUA
This 436-nucleotide ribosomal RNA is filed under the name uncultured bacterium. RNAcentral's name for it is "bacterial SSU rRNA". It matches the Rfam family "Bacterial small subunit ribosomal RNA", at positions 28 to 477 of the family's 1533-position model. The record is from RNAcentral.